AAAAAACCAAAUAGACAGGCUUAGUAAAGGUACAGUACUAGUCUUAAUAUCCUAAUAAUAAUCUUCACAACAAUUCACAUAAUACAGUACAUAUAAAUAAAUAUGAGUGCAGAUAAGUUCCCAAGUAUGCCUCCUUAAAUACUCCAUCAAAUUCCACGUCCUAUGAGUACAGAAAUUCACCCUUAGUUCAAGUCCCAUUUGUACGAAUUCAGUUCACGGCAUCCGAUCAAAUCCUCCAGCUUCUGGGGCAACCUGAUUCCCAUUAACAUUAAGGAGCAAUUGCUGCAGCCAUGUUCUCGUUGUUGGAUCCUCACUAAGACAACUGCUGAAGGUGUCAUCUCUAAGCCUAUCGGGAAGACAAUUUUUCAGUGCCUGACAAGCCCUUGGCUCAUCUGAUAAACGAAGAUAGCAUCUGAUUAUGUAUUUCAGCAAUCUUGAUGAAGGCUGCUGAGCAAGCGCACCGACCAUAUUCCCUAAAGCUUGAGCUACUUCAAAAAACCUAUUCGACGUGGUACAGAUGUACUUCAGACCCACAUCAUCUAGAAGGAUUUUUUGCACAAUGGAAGUCGCAACUGUUUUUGAUAGUUCACUCCCCAUCUCCAUUGAGCAUAAGCACCGAGGAACUAUCUCUGUCGAAACAAGAAAACUGAUAACUUCAGUGUUGUCUAUCUUCACAAGGGCACCAAUAACGCCUAAGCUUGUAAGCCUCAAAUGUUCAAAUGGUGUUGACCUGAUUGUUGUAUUAAGAAAGGGGUA
Molecule: unclassified non-coding RNA, 756 nt
Filed under: Hevea brasiliensis (rubber tree)
Lineage: Eukaryota; Viridiplantae; Streptophyta; Magnoliopsida; Malpighiales; Euphorbiaceae
Source: RNAcentral